This 1655-nucleotide long non-coding RNA is filed under the name Homo sapiens (human). RNAcentral's name for it is "HSALNT0289574". Lineage: Eukaryota; Metazoa; Chordata; Mammalia; Primates; Hominidae. The record is from RNAcentral.
CGGAAGGCGCACCCUUGUGACGUCACAGGGGACUACCACUCACGCAGAGCCAAUCAGAACUCGCGGUGGGGGCUGCUGGUUCUUCCAGGAGCGCGCAUGAGCGGACGCUGCCUACUGGUGGCCGGGCGGGAUGUAACCGGCUGCUGAGCUGGCAGUUCUGUGUCGCUAGGCUUCUGCCCGGCCGCCGCCGCACAUAAGCCACGAGGAGGAGCUUUACGACUUCCCGGUCUUCGGCGCCGGGCGCAGCAAGGGCCAGACUCUGCGCUAGCAGGCGCUGCGCGCCAACCGGCCGGCACCUGUCGCAGAAGGUGCAACCGAUCGCACUGUCGCGCAGAAGCUCCUCAAUGGCCAGCGCCAGCUGCAGCCCCGGCCGCCCACUCGCCUCAUCUGAGCCUGGCAGAAGGUAAGCAUGAGCAAAUUACUUUUUAGAGGUAACUUUGCUGAACUUGUGAAGAAUGGUGUGCAAGGUCCAGAGCGACUGCAGGAGAGGGAAGGUGGGAUUCCCACAGAGCAGGAGCACAGAUAAGCCAAGCAAGGCCCUGCUUGGAAGGCAGCAAUCAACAGAGAUGCACAGACCUGUGAGGGUGCCGGGACAGCCAUGCAACAAUGCAGCCCUUUUGCUUCCUGAGCUCACCAGUUCCCUCGCUCCACCUCUGAGAGGUGGUUUGGAGAAACACAGCCCUUCUCAAGAGGGCUGCAAGCUACUUAAGUCCUGAAAAUUUCCACAAGGCUGAGUCAAAUCUGCGUUUCAUCAUCUAUAAGAAAGGUACCUAUCGAGAACACCCUGCUGGCCAGUGUGUAAAUAUCUAAAGGAGGACUCAGAAAACACCGGGGAAGUCCAGCCUGCACGUGGUGGCUGGGCUUCAGUGAAGCAUGCAGCACAACAGGAGUUAGCAGACCACAAAGAGCAUGUCUGGACCUAGAACCACAGCAUGUAACCUCGGAAGCAGUGAGACACCAGCCAGCAUGGACAAGCAGCAGGCACUUGCUCUAUACCAGAUAGGUCCCACCUCCAGCCUUCCCCUGCUGCCAUCUAACAUCCUAAACUCCAGCUCUGAAUGUCUGUCUCCUGCUCUGAAUCUUCAGUGACUUCGAAACUCAAGUCAGGACACCUCUCAGUUUGGCCUCACUGCUCAAGAUUGAGCUGAAUUCAUGACCAUAAUUCAAGCAUUCAGAUUCAUGGGCUGUUUUGUGGGUUUUGCUAUCUCUUAUUUUGUUUUUGCACAUCUUACCCACUGAAACGUUGGGCUGCAAAAAGUUUGAUCACUAAAUAUGUAGGCAAUGCUGGAUACUGGGCUGUUAUUUACAUAUUUGUAUCACCUUUUAUUUCAUAAGAUAGCAUUGUCAGAGUAAUUUAGUAUUUCAACAUAAUCAACAAGUAAAAUAAAAUUAAUGAGAAUGAUCUUACUUUGAGUAUUUGUGUCAUUUCUAAAAUGGUCCUUUUUCCUUUUUUUGGAUGCAUAUUCAUGCUCUUCAUUAUUGACUAUUUCUCCAUCUUCACUAUUUAAGAUACUGAAAUAAAGACAUAUUCUAUUAAAAUAUUUUUUCAGGGAGAUCUUCAUUUGGCUUUUCUUUUGUAAAAGGAUACAAAUACUUCAAAGUGACAGACUGUGGGCUUGAAAUCACAGGGGUAAUGUCUAAUACAUUUUUGUUUC